This 87-nucleotide transfer RNA is filed under the name Coriobacteriaceae bacterium. Its description in RNAcentral is "tRNA-Leu". It matches the Rfam family "tRNA". From Rfam's summary of the family: Transfer RNA (tRNA) molecules are approximately 80 nucleotides in length. Lineage: Bacteria; Bacillati; Actinomycetota; Coriobacteriia; Coriobacteriales; Coriobacteriaceae. The record is from RNAcentral.
GCCCGAGUGGCGGAACUGGCAGACGCGGCAGACUCAAAAUCUGCUGUCGGAAACGGCGUGUGGGUUCGAGUCCCACCUCGGGCACCA